AGUCGAGGGGCAGCGCAAGAUAGUUUACUAUUUUGGCGGCGACCGGCGCACGGGUGAGUAACGCGUAUGCAACCUACCUUAUACAGGAGUAUAGCCCGAAGAAAUUCGGAUUAAUCCUCCAUAGUAUUCUUUAAUGGCAUCAUUUGAAGAAUUAAAGCUUCGGCGGUAUAAGAUGGGCAUGCGUCCUAUUAGCUAGAUGGUAAGGUAAUGGCUUACCAUGGCUACGAUAGGUAGGGGGCCUGAGAGGGUGAUCCCCCACACUGGUACUGAGACACGGACCAGACUCCUACGGGAGGCAGCAGUGAGGAAUAUUGGGCAAUGGAGGCAACUCUGACCCAGCCAUGCCGCGUGCAGGAAGAAUGCCCUAUGGGUUGUAAACUGCUUUUAUUUAGGAAUAAACCCCUUUACGUGUAGAGGGCUGAAUGUACUAAACGAAUAAGCACCGGCUAACUCCGUGCCAGCAGCCGCGGUAAUACGGAGGGUGCAAGCGUUAUCCGGAGUCAUUGGGUUUAAAGGGUCCGCAGGCGGAUGUAUAAGUCAGUGGUGAAAUCCUGCAGCUUAACUGCAGAACUGCCAUUGAUACUGUACAUCUUGAAUUCGGUCGAAGUGGGCGGAAUGUGUAGUGUAGCGGUGAAAUGCAUAGAUAUUACACAGAACACCGAUAGCGAAGGCAGCUCACUAGGCCUGGAUUGACGCUCAGGGACGAAAGCGUGGGGAUCAAACAGGAUUAGAUACCCUGGUAGUCCACGCUAUAAACGAUGAUUACUCGUUUUCGGCGAUAUACAGUCGGAAGACAAGCGAAAGUGAUAAGUAAUCCACCUGGG
This 824-nucleotide ribosomal RNA is filed under the name uncultured marine bacterium. RNAcentral's name for it is "bacterial SSU rRNA". It matches the Rfam family "Bacterial small subunit ribosomal RNA", at positions 60 to 877 of the family's 1533-position model. The record is from RNAcentral.